CUUUGCUCAGCAGGGGCUUAUGCCAAGUCAGGCAUGGGGCCCAGGCAGAUUCACGGUUUUGUGUUGCCUUGCCUUCCCUGAACCUUGCUGCUCCUCUGAGCGGCCAGCGCUUCCAGGAAAGGCUGGUGGAGUUGUGAGUGGAGAAGCACCAGGUGGAGCUCAGGUGGUUCAGAAUGAAGGCAGGAGACUGAAAGGUAUCAGGUUGGACGCCCAGAGCCUGGUGGGCCCCUGUCCCACUCCCCAGCACUCUUUAGAAGCAGAUUCCUGCUCAUGUGCCCAGCCACAAGUCCCCAGGUGUGACUGUCCCUACACUCUCGCUCACUCUCCAGCCAAGUCUUGUCUUUUUGAGGGGUAAUGAAUUUUAGGUCUGCAGAAUUCCUUGAUUAUCUGUAUUAGUUAUUCCCUCAGCAUCCCCUCAUGUUUUCUUAUAUUUUACCCACUUACCCAUUGAUACACAUCCUUAGGAUCUAAAAUGAAGUGAUUUAGCAGCAUCAAUUUUAAGACUCAUCGACUUUUUAAAAACUAAUUAAGGAAUGGAGAGAGGAAGCCUGCCCCAAAGCUGCAAUCAGGCUAUCGGCUACUGGGGGACAUGGGAAGAACCCUGGUGGCCUUAUCUUCCUGUUUCUGAAUCCUGGCCAUAGGCUGGACCUGGGCUCCUUAGGGCUCUUCCAGCUGCCAGUCAAGGAGCACAGCUGGUUUGCUCUUUGGGCUGUGGCUCUGGGUCUGGAAGGAACAAGAAACCCACGCCUGGGCAGAAAUCUCGGGUGAGAAACUGGAUAUCAGAAGGGCUGUGCAGGAUCUCUAAGUUGGCCUCAGCCUUUAGUUGAAACCACUUAGUUGUAGAGCAGGGAACAUGGGGGCUGGGGCAGGGGAGGGAGGCACAGGUCCCUCAUCAGAGAAACCUUCUGCUUUCCCUACACAGCAGCCAGCAUCCCGUCCUGAGCCUGCAGGGGAGAAACCAUUUAAAGUAAAUGUGAGGGAUUCUCACAUUUUACAAUGACUUCUGCUGCUCAUUUGACCCUUGUGGCUCUGUAGUGGAGUAUCUCUAUUUGACAACGAUGGAACCUGAGACUCAGAGAGGGCAAGUGAGUUACUCAAGGCCACACAGUUGGGCAAGGGAAGCCGUACACAGGACUCCAUCCACAGCUUGCUCUUGCCCCUCUGCUCAGCUGGGUUCUGAGGCCAGGUCCUUGCCACAGUCCUCAACCCUGGCUGGCACACAGCAGGGAAGGAAGAGUUUUCCAGCAGCUUCUGCAUGUCCCUUCCCUAACAGGGACUAAGAAGGAGGGCUUAGUCUCUAAGCCAGGGAACUGAAAGUCCUGGCCACGGAAACCUCUAGAUUGAAGAGCACCAGCAGCUGAAGAGUGGGUCACAGUUUUGUAAGCUGCCACCAGGCUGCCUGUUUUCUGGUGCUUAGAGAUGAAGGCUGACCUCGAAAGCCCUCACCAUGUCCAUGAAGCCUUACAAGACCCGGCCUCUGGCUACUUCUCCAGGCUCAUUGCCCCCACUCCGCUCUCCUCUUCACUCUCUCAGCACUGCCACAUCGACUUCCCAAAGCCUACCCAGCCUGCCCAGCCUUGGAACUUCAUCAGCUCUAAUCGGCUGGCUUGGAAUUGCCCUUCCCAGACACCCGCUCGGCUCCCACUCACAUCCUUCCUUUCCCCAAUCCCUCUGGUGCCUCCAGACCUCCUGCAUGAUGGGCCUGUUUCUUCACCACUUGCCGUCACCCCGUGGGGUGGGCGGUGUGUUUCUUCUUUAUCACCUUGGUCAGUGCUGCAUGUUGCUCUGUAGCCCUUGGUUGCUUCUCUCCCCUACCAGUGCCCACAGGGCAUGUCUUUUGUACUCUGUUAUAUCUCCAGUUCCUGGCCCAGGGUAGGCACCUGAUAAAAAUUUAGGGAAUGCUUAUAUGGUCUAGAGACCAAUUUCCCCUUUAGAUGUUUAGAUGUUGACUGUCCCUUUUCUCCAAGUAAGGAGAGUUGUGAUGGGGUGUGGAGAGGCACAGGGGAGAGAAGGAGCGGUGUUACCAGCGAGUCUGUCUGUCAAUGAUAUCUCCCCCAACCCCUUUUUGUCCCAGAGGUGUAGACGCAGGUCAGACAACUUUCCAACUCUAUGUCGCUUUUGCCUGUCCCUCCAUCCCUGCUGUGGUGAGCCUCUCAUCUGAGCCUCCCCAACAGUUUGUGCAACGACUCCACUUAACGUUGGUCUGCCGACUGUCAUGGACAUCUGUGAGUUUCCUGUGCCUUCUUGUUUAACAACGAUCUCAGCUUGUGUCAAGGGAGUGGUGGCGGCAUGCGGUAGAGCUGUCAGAGGGGUCAGCUUGGCCUGGGUUUGGGCUCAGGAGUGCCAGCUUCCUCGAGGAGUGGGAGGUCGGUCAUGCAAGGGAGCAUUGAGCCCAGGCCCCAGGAUAACUGAGACUGUUUGGAGGUGGUGCCCCAACCCUUGCUUACGUGGGCGGGUCUCAGAGGGGUGAGGCUGGGCUUGCCUGCUGAGCCCUGCAAAUGCAGGUGAGGUGGCUCAAGCGUUUCUACCUGGACUGGUGUGGAGCUCAGGCCUCUGCGUCUCUCUCUUCCUGUGUGUGCAGAGUCAGCUGCUCUGCCCUGGUGGGUCUGUGUGUUUGUGAACGUGUGUGUAUUCGUGCCAUGAGUGUGACACCUGUGGGUGUGUGCUUGUGUGAGCUGUGUCUGUGUACAUCCUCACAUGUAUCUUUUUCUUUGUGGGGAUUUCCUUCAGGCCUGUGAUUCUAAAAUCAACACAACCAAAUUCACACUCAUCGCCGGCUUUCCCUGUCCUACUGUGGAGCACAUGAACCCGGGGACGCAUUCGACUUUCCUCUGGAAAGCGAAGGGAGGUCUUUCAUCUUUAAAGUGAAGGUCCACUGAAUGAACGACGGCAGCCAUGAGCAAAAGACAUGGAAUCCUCUUGGAUGGGCAAGCAGCUCCGCAAGAAGACUUGGAGAAAAAACGGUGAACUCGAUGAGAACUGUUCCCCUAGGAGCCUCCCAAGGUGCCCUGCCAUCUGCGCCCAAGAUGGAGUCAAGCUCGUUUCUGACUCUGCCCAAGCCCACUUAAAAUCGGACCCUAAGCCAGUCCCUGACCUGCUUGAGCCUGAGUUUCAUCAUCCUUGUGAAUGAGGGGACUACCUGCCACCUUCCCCCGAGCGUGGGAAAAUGGGCUCCUCCAGUCACCUAUGAGGAAUUCCCCAGUGCCCAGAACAGGAUCUUGCAAGCUACUGCUGAGCCUCCUCUCUGCAAAGCCUUGGAGUUAUAGCUUCCUCCUAGGCUCCAGGGAGAGCGAGACUAGAGAGACCAUGGCCACAGCACCCGUGCCCCUUGUCCACCCAGCUCACUGCAGCCCACAGCUGCCCUUCCUUCUGCUAUACACCUCCAGCAGGUGCUCCCUUCUGCAGAGUAAAGAGCCCCAUAUUCCCUGGGGACACAGAAAGUGUGUGCUGGCCCCAAUCCGCUUUAGGUCUUGCCUUCUGGGGACAUGGUCUCAGUGGGCACAAGGUAAUUUUGGACAGGUUUCCAGUUUAAUAGAAGAAAGCUGUUCCUGUGGUCGGUUAAGCCUGCAAUUCCUGCUUCAAACAACUCCCUAAACCUGUUUUUCUUACAUGUUGGGGUCCCCCAGUGGCCGUCCCCACUUGCCCACAUGCCAGAACCUGGCUCCUCCUGACCAGGCUUACCCAGCAUUCGCUGCAAGACCCUGCCUGCCUCCCCUCCCAAUUCCACUGUUGAAAUAAA
This is an RNA transcript of Rhinopithecus roxellana (golden snub-nosed monkey), 3739 nucleotides long. RefSeq lists it as uncharacterized. The transcript is spliced from 3 exons. The record is from RefSeq and is a predicted model, not a curated record. Lineage: Eukaryota; Metazoa; Chordata; Mammalia; Primates; Cercopithecidae.